This 145-nucleotide ribosomal RNA is filed under the name Cladosporium ramotenellum. RNAcentral describes it as "partial 18S ribosomal RNA". It matches the Rfam family "Eukaryotic small subunit ribosomal RNA", at positions 1687 to 1830 of the family's 1831-position model. The record is from RNAcentral. Lineage: Eukaryota; Fungi; Ascomycota; Dothideomycetes; Cladosporiales; Cladosporiaceae.
GAUUGAUGGCUCGGUGAGGCCUUCGGACUGGCCCAGGGAGGUCGGCAACGACCACCCAGGGCCGGAAAGUUGGUCAAACCCGGUCAUUUAGAGGAAGUAAAAGUCGUAACAAGGUCUCCGUAGGUGAACCUGCGGAGGGAUCAUU